CACAAAGAAACCCUGCCUCAAUUAACCAA
This 29-nucleotide non-coding RNA is filed under the name Mus musculus (house mouse). The record is from RNAcentral. Lineage: Eukaryota; Metazoa; Chordata; Mammalia; Rodentia; Muridae.